Molecule: ribosomal RNA, 427 nt
Filed under: uncultured Gammaproteobacteria bacterium
Lineage: Bacteria; Pseudomonadati; Pseudomonadota; Gammaproteobacteria
Description: bacterial SSU rRNA
Rfam family: Bacterial small subunit ribosomal RNA
Source: RNAcentral
UGGGGAAUUUUGGACAAUGGGGGCAACCCUGAUCCAGCCAUUCCGCGUGAGUGAAGAAGGCCUUCGGGUUGUAAAGCUCUUUCGCAAGGGAAGAAACGAUAUAGGUUAAUAGCCUAUGUUAAUGACGGUACCUUGACAAGAAGCACCGGCUAACUACGUGCCAGCAGCCGCGGUAAUACGGAGGGUGCAAGCGUUAAUCGGAAUUACUGGGCGUAAAGCGCGCGUAGGCGGUUAUUUAAGUCAGAUGUGAAAUCCCUGGGCUCAACCUAGGAACUGCAUUUGAUACUGGAUAACUAGAGUAUGGUAGAGGUGAGUGGAAUUUCAGGUGUAGCGGUGAAAUGCGUAGAGAUCUGAAGGAACAUCAGUGGCGAAGGCGACUCACUGGGCCAUUACUGACGCUGAGGUGCGAAAGCGUGGGUAGCAAACA